Molecule: ribosomal RNA, 497 nt
Filed under: uncultured bacterium
Lineage: Bacteria
Description: partial 16S ribosomal RNA
Rfam family: Bacterial small subunit ribosomal RNA
Source: RNAcentral
GAUGAACGCUGGCGGCGUGCCUAAUACAUGCAAGUCGAGCGAACAGACGAGGAGUUUGCUCCUCUGACGUUAGCGGCGGACGGGUGAGUCACAUGUGGAUAACCUACCUAUCAGACUGGGAUACCUUCGGGAAACCGGAGCUACUACCGGAUAAUAUAUUGACCCGCAUGGUUCAAUAGUGAAAGACGGUUUUGCUGUCGGUUAUAGAUGGAUCCGCGCCGCAUUAGCUAGUUGGUAAGGUAACGGCUUACCAAGGCAACGAUGCGUAGCCGACCUGAGAGGGUGAUCGGCCACACUGGAACUGAGACACGGUCCAGACUCCGACGGGAGGCAGCAGUAGGGAAUCUUACGCAAUGGGCGAAAGCGUGACAGAGCAACGCCGCGUGAGUGAUGAAGGUCUUCGGAUCGUAAAACGCUGUUAUUAGGGAAGAACAAAUGUGUAAGUAACUAGGCACGUCAUGACGGUACCUAAUCAGAAAGCCACGGCUAACUACGUG